Long non-coding RNA from Mobula hypostoma (lesser devil ray), 482 nucleotides. RefSeq lists it as uncharacterized. The transcript is spliced from 3 exons. NCBI's taxonomy places the organism in Eukaryota, Metazoa, Chordata, Chondrichthyes, Myliobatiformes, Myliobatidae. The record is from RefSeq and is a predicted model, not a curated record.
CGAGACAGGUAGGUCCCAUUCUUACUGACCUGUAUCCCUGUGGAAUAUAGUUUUUAUCUGUGGAUCUGCCGCACACGUCAAGACAGCAGUUGAGCAGGAAGAAUUGGUGUCCAUUAAAGAAGCUUCAAACAGCCCGUCAGCAGAGACUGCUCGUGUGUGUCGGGAGCUCGGCCCUGGGUGAGAAGCUGAAUUUACAGAAGAAUGCAGUCUGGCUCGUUCCAAGUCCCGCCUCAGGAAGUGAUGAAUCCAUAUUCGGAGAAGGGAAUGAUCAACUAUAUACUGAAUUUGUACUGCAGUCGGGGUGAUGUUGCGGAUUAUAACUACCAUGCUGAAAUUCUUCGUAACAGUCCUGCACUGGGUACAAUAUAUUCUCCUGGAGAAGAAGCAGAGACAUGCUUUGUGAUUGAAAAUGUUGUUGUAGCUAGUGAUCGCAUCAAGAAAUUCAUAAAUGAGAGCCCCACGCAUGCUGUGUUUAAUUCUGG